UCACUAGCUGAUAUGUGGUUACCUUUAGUGCACUGUAGUUGCUAAAUACUCUGUAAUCCUCUUUCCCUCGGGGUCAAUUCCUUAAUUGUCUUUCUGCAGCUGUUGGAGGAGGUGGGUCGUGUACACUCCACAGCGAGCAUUGGUGUCACUGAUGGCUUUAACCAGAUAGUUCCCAGUGUUUGCCCUGGCUCAAGGAAAAUCUCCACUAGCUAAACAGUACUUGGAGGCCAGAGAAGAAGCGCUCACCGAGGAUCUACCAGGAAUGGACUUCAGAGCAGUGUUCAUCCUCCGUUCAAUCAUUUUUAAAAUGUGUGGAUCAUCACAUCAUGAUGGGAGAGGGUGAACCCAACACACCAUACCCAAUUGUCCAGGUGACCCAAGAAGACUGGAAGUCCAUAUUUGGGGGACGUAGCUCUUGUUCCCUGAAGGUAGACGGGGUCGAGGUGUGUGAAGGUAGAGGAAGCAACGAUCUCAUCGUUUUAUUCAUAUUUUGUUUUCGAUCUUGAAUACCAACCCAAAAACAAGAACACUCUGACCUUCCUUCAGCGAUGUAUUGCGGGAGUGUAUUUCACUUUGAAAAACAAGGAAUUCUCACCAUGCAACACAUCCACAACAAAAACAUCUUGUGUGGCAUACUUGACAUUGUUAACGGUUACUUCUGAAACACGUAUAACUUUAUCUUCACUUAAAGAAACAUCAGUGAAAUAUUGAGGAAGCACAUUAAAUGGACAACUACACUGUACCCCAUAGGUUGCUCUACUGUCAGGAUUUUGCCAGAUACAUUCCAGGUGAUACUGGUGAACGUCAGAUGUUCUUAAAACAUAACUAUCUUCCUGAAAUGUGUCUUUAAUAUCUGUAUAUGUUCCCAUACAAUGUCUACAAACUCUUCCUGAGUUAAAUGACAUACUGAAUCCACCAAUCAUGUGAGCUGAAAGGUUAUCCCCUGAAAUGGUAGCUAGGGCUGCAUGGACAUUCUGAUCAACCCCACCAACAGUGAGAGCACUUUAAGAUCAUCUAGCAGUGGCUUUAGGAUAACUUCUAAGCCACACUCCUUUAAAUAGGAAUAGCGCACCAGUAACGCUAAAUAAAUAUGCUUCACUUGAGACCUGUACUUUCCAUGUACAUUACCUACAGUUUAGUAGAAGGCGCACAGUUUGUUUUGUUUGAACCCAAAGGACUUACUACCUCAAAUUCAUCCUCAUAAAAAUGCAGUCAUAAUGCAUUUGGAUAUUCUCUGAAGAAAGGAUGCUCUUUAUAGUACAAUCCAUCACAAAAGUCAGUUAAGACCUGUUCAUCUUCAAUAUUUACAGAGACUGUCAUCCCAUACAUCCUCAUGGGAACAGUAUAUUUUUUUUAAACCUCAGAAAUGGGAACAUAGGAGAAGCUACCUAUUUUAUGUCCUGUAGACCCUCUUAAAGUGUAUUGAACUGGUUCAGUCAAGUCUAACCUCGACUUACAGUAUUCUUUCAAUUUGAACUGAGAAGAGAACUCUUUUGAUGCUUCCUCAAAAAAAUCAUUGGACUGUAAA
Molecule: long non-coding RNA, 1528 nt
Organism: Perca fluviatilis (European perch)
Lineage: Eukaryota; Metazoa; Chordata; Actinopteri; Perciformes; Percidae
Exons: 3
Source: RefSeq, a predicted model, not a curated record